Molecule: long non-coding RNA, 1179 nt
Filed under: Marmota monax (woodchuck)
Lineage: Eukaryota; Metazoa; Chordata; Mammalia; Rodentia; Sciuridae
Source: RNAcentral
GUGGUGCCAUAACUCACUGUCACCACUAACCUCAGAGGCUGUCAGUAUCUGUGGGCAGCAGUGACAUGGGGAAUGGGCCUCUCCUACCGCUGGACAGGUCACAAACUGGAAAGCCCCUUGGGAAGGCAAUCUGAGGAGACCAAGGCAUAGCCAUUCCUGAGUGUGCCUCUAGGUGUGUGCAGACAGGUUUGCAGUUGUGCACAAGGACCACAGGACCACAAGGCCGAGUCUUCCUGCAGGAGGCCGAUGGAGAGGCCAAUGCUCAGUCAGUUUUGUGUUACUAUCACGAAAUAACUGAGGCAGGCUAAAAAAAAAGUUUGACUCUGUUUUGGAGGUUCAAGGGCCGGGCACCAGCAUUAGCUGGGCUCUGGUGAGGAUCUCAUGGUGGAUAGAGUGUGUGGGAGGAAUGACAUCUUGAAAAGGGGAGGUCAGGUGGGAUCAGUCUCAGGGAAACCAGGGGCCCAUAAGAAAUUCCUUAAUCCUUGGAGGGCAGAACCCCAACUUGACCCAAGUACCUCCUGCUUGACCCCAUACCACUUCCAUUACCACCACCCUGGGGACAAUUCCAACCCCUGAUCCUUUGGGAGACACAUUUUAAGCCAUAGCACCCACGUCAGCUCUUGUCAAAUGGAAACUAUCACUUGGUGAAAAACGCUGCAGACGACACAAUAGUCAAUUAUGUGAGUGAAGGUUGAAAGCAGAGGCCACAUCUGCUUGUGGGUCCUGUGUUGGCUGAUGCUCUGAACUGGCUGACUCCCCCCCAAACCCCUUCUACUCCACCCUCCUCCCCGGGACAGAACGCUGACACCUGGCGGCCAGCCUGGCCCGGCCUGCAGAGCUCAGCAUGGCUGCUGUGCCUGAGGGGCCGAGGGCAAGUGAGGCCUGGGCGGUCCGGGUGAGGGCGAGGGUGAGUCUUCCUGAUGGAGGGGAGUGAGCUGUGUCCUCAGGAGCAGCAGACCUGAGGGAAAGGUCUGGGACUGUGGAGGCCAGCCUGCCCUGGCCGAGCCUGCACCAGCACUGCUGCCAGCCUGCUCUGAGGGAAAGGGGAGCCUCCCGUGAGGGGCCAGGUAUCAGCCACACGCAGUGCCGGCCACCUGCACUGGUUCAGUGCUGUGGACCAACCCGACCCUCCAACCCAGACGGUGAGGGUGUGUGGACAUGGGACUUGGGGAGGUAAUG